This 2445-nucleotide ribosomal RNA is filed under the name Triticum aestivum (bread wheat). RNAcentral describes it as "partial small subunit ribosomal RNA". The record is from RNAcentral. Lineage: Eukaryota; Viridiplantae; Streptophyta; Magnoliopsida; Poales; Poaceae.
AUGGACGACGGCGGGAUCCAGGAGGAGGAGCAGCCGCCGUCGGCGCGGCCGCUCAGGCCGAGGCGAUCGGGGGGCAGCUCGCGGUGGGUGGACGCCAGCGAGGUCGACUCGUCCGAGUCCCCGCACUGGUCGCUCGAGGACGAGCAGGAGCCCUGGGCCCUCUCGGCCGCCGACGAGGCCGAGGUCCUCUGCGCCACGGGAGGGGCCCUGCUCUCGCGGAGGAGCUCCUCCGCGUUUCGCCGGAGGCUGGGGAAGCGGCCCAAGAGGGCCGACUCCCUCGACGUCGAGGCCAUGAACGUGCGCGGCGCGCAUGGCCACAGCGCCCAGGAUAUAUCGUUGAUGGGCACCGUCGCAAUGGCAUUUCAAACCCUCGGAGUUGUUUAUGGUGACAUGGGUACGAGCCCUCUCUAUGUCUUCAGCGAUGUGUUCAGCAAGGUCCCCAUCAAGUCAGAGGUGGAGAUCCUUGGAGCGCUUUCGCUGGUCAUGUACACGAUAGCGUUGAUCCCUUUUGCGAAAUACGUAUUCAUAGUCCUGAAAGCCAAUGACAAUGGCGAAGGGGGCACGUUUGCAUUAUAUUCGUUGAUUUGCAGGUAUGCAAAAGUCAGCCUGUUACCGAAUCAGCAGCGUGUGGAUGAAAAUAUUUCUAGUUUUAGGCUUAAGUUACCUACUCCUGAGCUUGAACGUGCUCUGCUUGUCAAAGACUACCUAGAAAAGAAGCCACUCUACAAAAAUAUUCUCCUCUUCUUGGUUCUGAUGGGGACUUCCAUGGUGAUUGGAGAUGGCAUCCUCACUCCGUCAAUGUCAGUUAUGUCUGCUGUCAGUGGUCUCCAGGGUCAAGUUGCUGGAUUUGAUGCAGAUGCUGUUGUAAUUGUUUCAAUCCUAGUUCUUGUGCUAUUAUUCAGUGUCCAGAGCUUUGGAACUGGCAAAGUUGGAAUCAUGUUCGCUCCUGUUUUGGCUUUGUGGUUUCUUAAUUUGGGCUCCAUUGGAAUAUACAACAUAAUUAAGUAUGACACGUCAGUAGUGAGAGCUCUCAAUCCAAUGUACAUCUAUUAUUUUUUCAAGAUGAACGGCAUAAAGGCAUGGUCAGCUCUUGGUGGUUGUGUCUUGUGCAUCACAGGAGCUGAAGCAAUGUUUGCUGAUCUGGGCCAUUUCACUGUCAAAUCAAUACAGCUAGCAUUCACUGCUGUGGUAUUCCCUUGCCUGCUUAUUGCAUACAUGGGCCAAGCUGCAUAUUUGAUGAAGCAUCCACUUGCCGUAGAAAGGAUAUUUUAUGAUUCUGUACCAGAAGUUCUGUUCUGGCCAGUAUUUGUGAUUGCUACACUUGCUGCUAUGAUUGCCAGCCAAGCUAUGAUAUCUGCAACCUUCUCUUGCAUAAAGCAGGCUAUGGCACUUGGUUGCUUUCCUAGGAUCAAAAUAAUCCAUACCUCCAAGAAAGUCAUGGGUCAGAUUUACAUACCUGUGAUGAAUUGGUUUCUCAUGAUCAUGUGCAUCAUCAUCGUGGCCACUUUCAGGAGUACGAACGAUAUUGCCAAUGCAUAUGGCAUUGCUGAAGUUGGAGUCAUGAUGGUCAGUACUGCACUGGUAACCUUGGUGAUGCUUCUUAUAUGGCAAACCAAUCUCGUGUUGAAAUACCAGAGUGAGAUGCGUGGGAAGAUAUCCCUGGACUUUAUUCUUGACCUGGGAUCAACACUUGGCACAGUAAGAGUUCCAGGCAUUGGACUUGUGUACAAUGAGCUGGUCCAGGGAAUCCCAUCGAUCUUUGGUCAUCUGUUGAUCACACUGCCAGCAAUGCACUCCACAAUCGUUUUUGUUUGCAUCAAAUAUGUUCCUGUCCCAUAUGUGCCGCUUGAAGAAAGGUUCUUGUUCAGAAGGGUUGGCCAGAAGGACUACCACAUGUUCCGUUGUGUUGCACGGUAUGGCUACAAGGAUGUCAGGAAAGAGGACCAUGGCUCAUUUGAGCAUCUCUUGGUUGAAAGCCUAGAGAGAUUUCUGAGGAGGGAGGCCCAGGAACUCGCGCUCGAGGUGAGCACAAUGGAGGCAGAGCGUGAUGAUGUGUCUGAAGUGUCCGAGAUCGUUCCAUCAUCUCCUGCUACUGCUGCUGAGGAUCUGCACACUCCACUGCUUUCUGAUCAGAGACCGGGCGAUGACAGUCGAAUGUUGGGCAUGGAAGGCAGCGUUCCUUUGCUCCCCUCUAGCUCCAUGUCCGCAGAAGAAGACCCCAGCUUAGAGUACGAGCUCGCGGCACUGAGGGAAGCCAUGGCAUCUGGGUUCACAUAUCUCUUAGCACAUGGCGAUGUGAGGGCGAGGAAGCAAUCAUUCUUCACGAAGAAGUUCAUCAUCAACUAUUUCUACGCUUUCCUGAGGAGGAACUGCAGGGGUGGCACCGCAACCUUGAAGAUGCCUCACUCGAACAUCAUGCGUGUGGGGAUGACAUACAUGGUCUGA